GAUGAACGCUAGCGGCAGGCCUAACACAUGCAAGUCGAGGGAGAAGCCUUUCGGGGCAGAAACCGGCGCACGGGUGCGUAACGCGUAUGCAACCUACCUUUUACAGGGGGAUAGCCCGAAGAAAUUUGGAUUAAUACCCCAUAAUAUUAUUGUACGACAUCGUUUGAUAAUUAAAGCUGAGGCGGUAGAAGAUGGGCAUGCGUCCUAUUAGCUAGUUGGAGUGGUAACGGCACCCCAAGGCUACGAUAGGUAGGGGUCCUGAGAGGGAGAUCCCCCACACUGGUACUGAGACAGGGACCAGACUCCUACGGGAGGCAGCAGUGAGGAAUAUUGGUCAAUGGUCGGAAGACUGAACCAGCCAUGCCGCGUGCAGGAAGAAUGCCUUAUGGGUUGUAAACUGCUUUUAUAUAGGGAGAAUAAGGAGUACGUGUACUCUGAUGACGGUACUAUAUGAAUAAGCAUCGGCUAACUCCGUGCCAGCAGCCGCGGUAAUACGGAGGAUGCGAGCGUUAUUCGGAAUCAUUGGGUUUAAAGGGUCUGUAGGCGGGCUAUUAAGUCAGGGGUGAAAUCUUACAGCUUAACUGUGAAAUUGCCUUUGAUACUGGUAGUCUUGAAUAUUUGUGAAGUUUUUGGAAUGUGUAGUGUAGCGGUGAAAUGCUUAGAUAUUACACAGAACACCGAUUGCGAAGGCAGGAGACUAACAAAUGAUUGACGCUGAGAGACGAGAGCGUGGGGAGCGAACAGG
Molecule: ribosomal RNA, 745 nt
Filed under: uncultured Capnocytophaga sp.
Lineage: Bacteria; Pseudomonadati; Bacteroidota; Flavobacteriia; Flavobacteriales; Flavobacteriaceae
Description: bacterial SSU rRNA
Rfam family: Bacterial small subunit ribosomal RNA
Source: RNAcentral